Molecule: ribosomal RNA, 241 nt
Filed under: uncultured bacterium
Lineage: Bacteria
Description: partial 16S ribosomal RNA
Rfam family: Bacterial small subunit ribosomal RNA
Source: RNAcentral
GGCGGACGGGUGAGUAACGCGUAGGAAUCUACCCAGUAGUGGGGGAUAACAGCUGGAAACGGCUGCUAAUACCGCAUAACAUCGCAAGAUCAAAGGUGGCCUCUUCUUGAAAGCUAUCGCGAUAGGAUGAACCCAAGUGGGAUUAGCUAGUUGGUGAGGUAAUGGCUCACCAAGGCGACGAUCUCUAGCUGGUCUGAGAGGAUGAUCAGCCACACUGGAACUGAGACACGGUCCAGACUCC